Molecule: ribosomal RNA, 492 nt
Filed under: uncultured bacterium
Lineage: Bacteria
Description: partial 16S ribosomal RNA
Rfam family: Bacterial small subunit ribosomal RNA
Source: RNAcentral
AGUGAACGCCGGCGGUAGGCCUAACACAUGCAAGUAGAACGGCAGCACAGUAAGAGCUUGCUCUUACGGGUGGCGAGUGGCGGACGGGUGAGGAAUACAUCGGAAUCUACUUUUUCGUGGGGGAUAACGUAGGGAAACUUACGCUAAUACCGCAUACGACCUACGGGUGAAAGCAGGGGAUCUUCGGACCUUGCGCGAUUGAAUGAGCCGAUGUCGGAUUAGCUAGUUGGCGGGGUAAAGGCCCACCAAGGCGACGAUCCGUAGCUGGUCUGAGAGGAUGAUCAGCCACACUGGAACUGAGACACGGUCCAGACUCCUACGGGAGGCAGCAGUGGGGAAUAUUGGACAAUGGGCGCAAGCCUGAUCCAGCCAUACCGCGUGGGUGAAGAAGGCCUUCGGGUUGUAAAGCCCUUUUGUUGGGAAAGAAAAGCAGCAGGUUAAUACCCCGCUGUUCUGACGGUACCCAAAGAAUAAGCACCGGCUAACUUCGUG